AACGAACGCUGGCGGCAUGCCUAACACAUGCAAGUCGAACGCCCUCUUCGGAGGGAGUGGCGCACGGGUGCGUAACGCGUGGGAACCUGCCCUUAGGUUCGGAAUAACUCAGAGAAAUUUGAGCUAAUACCGGAUAAUGUCUUCGGACCAAAGAUUUAUCGCCUUUGGAUGGGCCCGCGUUGGAUUAGCUAGUUGGUGGGGUAAAGGCCUACCAAGGCGACGAUCCAUAGCUGGUCUGAGAGGAUGAUCAGCCACACUGGGACUGAGACACGGCCCAGACUCCUACGGGAGGCAGCAGUGGGGAAUAUUGGACAAUGGGCGAAAGCCUGAUCCAGCAAUGCCGCGUGAGUGAUGAAGGCCUUAGGGUUGUAAAGCUCUUUACUGGGGAUGAUAAUGACAGUACCCAGAGAAUAAGACUCCGGCUAACUCCGUGCCAGCAGCCGCGGU
RNAcentral lists this ribosomal RNA (447 nucleotides) under uncultured bacterium. RNAcentral's name for it is "bacterial SSU rRNA". It matches the Rfam family "Bacterial small subunit ribosomal RNA", at positions 29 to 521 of the family's 1533-position model. The record is from RNAcentral.